UAUUCGAAUAAUUCGAGAUAAUUAUUUGAAUGAGAACGGUGAACUCGGAAGUGAGAUCUGAGUCCGUUAAGACGUUUUUGAAAAUUUUGACUUUUUGACGAUGAAUAGUAAAAUACUGCUAUUUCGUCUUUUUGUUGACUUUCAAAAUUUUACGUGCACGUCGUCGAGAAAUAUUCUUAGUUUUUCGAUACGAGUUCAAUAAUGAAAGUUUUUAUUUUUGGACGACGAGUGAAUAGUGAACCGAAUUUUCUCGAUAAACGAACCGAGCUCGUUUAUCAGAAUUUCGAGAACGAGCUUGCGUUUUCUAUAUUUAUAUAGAAUUACGAGUGCAAUGAAAGUGAGUAGAGGUUGAGAGGGCGAGUAACAAAGAGUAUGGGUAGUUAGUCGUUAAAAACGAGACAAAACGGGAUAUUUAACGACUAAGUGGGAUAAUAUCCUAAAAGAUCUAACCUACCCUACCCAUGACUACCCCACCCAACCGCCCACUAUCCCUCUAUCUCACUUAACUCACGCUGCACACACAGCCCACAUGACUAAGAUCUUAGUGUUUGUCAAUUAAGAUUUUUGACCUCGAGUAGAGUGUCAUCCCAAUGUAUAGACUCUCAAUAUGUAGUUGCCACAAUAAGAUUUUUCUUCUAUCACGAUAAGCAUAAUAUGAUUAGAAUGAGUUCGUUUGUCACUAGUUCUCGAGACUAUAGACAUGGUGUUCUCACGAUUAGAAAGAUGCGAUAACAAUCAAGCUAUGUAGCCACACUGAUAAUGAAAGUCUAGUAUCCCAAACUAGAAUACCAAAUAUGCAAUUCCGAGGACGGAAUUUUUAUAAGGACGGAGGAAUGUAACACCCCUUUUCCUCGUAGCUACAUUUAGAGUAUUUUUGAACUUAGAUUUAAGAAGAUUCACGCCGGAUUGAGAAAAAGAAUUUAUUUUAAUUCCAACAAAUGAUUUGCAAAAUCCUUUUUGUAAAUGUUAGUCAUUUAAAUUCUUAUGCAUUUCAUAUUUAUUUAAAUUGUAUAUUAAACAUUUAGCAUCUACACGAGCUAUUUAUUUAAGCAAACACUGAUCGAUUAUUACAGUUUUCAUAGUACAACCCGAAAGUUUUUUUUUUAUUUUAUUUUAUUACUCCCACCUACUCCCACACCCACCUACUCCCACCUACUCCCACAGCCACCUACUCCUACACAACCAUACUGUUAGUACAAUUAUAGUGAACACCUACCAACUCCAUGUUUCCAUCCCAUCCAAGUUUUGCCCACCUAUAUUCAUCUCCUCACAAUACAACAAACACAUACACAAUAACACAUCUUGACAACUUCCUCAAUGCUCAAUCGAUGCUGCCAUCUAAAAGAUACACCAACUCAAAGCCCUUCCUCAAACUAGUAGAACACUCGGGCAUAACAUCAAGAAAAAGCUCAGCCUUUCCUAUCAAGGCUUUGUGACCAGGGGGAUUAGCGCUGCUUUCCCAAGACAGGUUAUGUGAUUAUGAUCUUCAGGCUUUGCCUAAUCAGGUUGAGCUGAUGUGAUGAUAGUGCUGCAAUGAGCAGAGUCUCCAGGGUUGUUAAUAAAUAGUUAACCUGUCUAGAAUAUGUCUUCAUACAUAUGUCUAGCUACAUUCCGCUGCAAGAUGUUGUUGAUGUUAUAGUAUGUUAUGUCAUACUUUGAGUCUUAAGAGAAUGGUUUCAUAUGAUGUAUAACUUAAUUAAUGAUAUUAAUUAAGUUUUAUGCUGUCUUUCAUAGACUGUUUAAAAGAGUAUUAAUGAGUAAAUACGACGAGUUUUCUUAGGUUGAGUAAGAUUUACGGUUCCAAAUGAUGCCCCUUUCUUCCCCUUAUUCUUUAA
Molecule: long non-coding RNA, 1835 nt
Organism: Salvia miltiorrhiza (redroot sage)
Lineage: Eukaryota; Viridiplantae; Streptophyta; Magnoliopsida; Lamiales; Lamiaceae
Exons: 3
Source: RefSeq, a predicted model, not a curated record